AAUCUAGAAAACAAGUGAGAAACACAGUACACAAUCACAAGAUAAAAGGAGAGGGAAGAAGAAAACAAAAGACACCAAGAGAUUGUUCACCCAGUUCGGUCCAAACUUGACCUACUCUGGAGGAGAGAUUGUACUCUCCAAUCCACUAUCAAAGAGUUCUUACAAAAGGGAUACAAAAGGUUACAAGAAAUUAGAUUUGACAAGUUCACAAUGAACAAACCCUAAUUUCUACCCUUUUCCCAAUCUCACCAAGACACUCAAUGAUUUUCUCUCUACAAGGUGUUUCCCAUGUUUUCAACCCAAGAGAUACUCUAAUCAAAGAACCCUAAACCCUAGAGUUGCUCCCUUUGAUUUCCCAAGUCUCUCUCUCUUCCAACUCUCCUUCAAAGAUGCACAAGAACACUUUAUAUACUAGCCUUCCUCUAAAGCAAUCGUGUCACGAUUUUCCAAAUCGUGUCACGAUUUGCGUACAACCCAAGGUAUGACCAGUCCUUAUCAAGGAUACUUAACGAGCAAGUUUCACAAUCGUGUCACGAUUUGGCACCCUGCAACCUAGCUCACGGCACCACGAAAUCGUGUCGUGAUGCCAAAUUCAUGUCACGAUUUCCCUGUUCUUCCAGACCACAAAUUUGAAGACAAAUCUCAACAUGUUUUUAAAAUUCUCACAUUUUAUCUCGUUAUCAAAAUUAGUCCCUGCGCUUAAUUCUCUAACGGAAUGUUGAUGUGGCGGUUACUGGGUCCCAAUUAUUUUAGGGUUAAAUAUGUUUUUUGGUCCCUACAUUUUACGUGACUUUGAAAAAUAGUCCUUACAUUUUAGGACUCACUAACUGCCAUAUCAGCAUUCCUGUUUUCUACGUGUGUCUAUAUGUUCUGGAUUGUCUAAAGUUCUUGCUCGUCGGUUUAGGAUCCAAAACCUAUCAAAUCUAUUGAGGCCGAACAAAUGCUACUCUACCCCUAACAAUGGAGAGGUCUGCUCGCAACAACUAAGAUGUUAAUAGACUCUAUGAGACUAGUAAGGUCUCCCACUACUAGCAAAUUGAUAACGUUCGACAGUUACAUAAUCUUCCUUCUAUAAUCGUCGACCAAAUAGGACUAAAAUAGUCCUGCCUAAUACAAUUUACCAUUCCUAAAACUAACUUUAUGCUUCUAACUCGAGUGUUAGAGUGUCUUCUGCCCCCCCCCCCCCCCCAAUCGUGCCACGAUUUGGCACCCUGCAACCUAGCUCACGGCAGCACGAAAUCGUGUCACGAUGCCAAAUUCGUGUCACGAUUUCCCUGUUCUUCCAGACCACAAAUUUGAAGACAAAUCUCAACA
RNAcentral lists this long non-coding RNA (1314 nucleotides) under Medicago truncatula (barrel medic). Its description in RNAcentral is "long non-coding RNA (MTRU_LNC003448)". Lineage: Eukaryota; Viridiplantae; Streptophyta; Magnoliopsida; Fabales; Fabaceae. The record is from RNAcentral.